This 452-nucleotide ribosomal RNA is filed under the name uncultured Thiobacillus sp. RNAcentral describes it as "bacterial SSU rRNA". It matches the Rfam family "Bacterial small subunit ribosomal RNA", at positions 926 to 1382 of the family's 1533-position model. Lineage: Bacteria; Pseudomonadati; Pseudomonadota; Betaproteobacteria; Nitrosomonadales; Thiobacillaceae. The record is from RNAcentral.
CAAGCGGUGGAUGAUGUGGAUUAAUUCGAUGCAACGCGAAGUAACCUUACCUACCCUUGACAUGUCCGGAACUUGCCAGAGAUGGCUUGGUGCCGAAAGGGAAUCGGAACACAGGUGCGUGCAUGGCUGUCGCCAGCUCGUGUCGUGAGAUGUUGGGUUAAGUCCCGCAACGAGCGCAACCCUUAUCAUUAGUUGCUACGCAAGGGCACUCUAAUGAGACUGCCGGUGACAAACCGGAGGAAGGUGGGAUGACGUCAAGUCCUCAUGGCCCUUAUGGGCAGGGCUUCACACGUCAUACAAUGGUCGGUACAGAGGGUUGCCAAGCCGCGAGGCGGAGCCAAUCCCACAAAGCCGAUCGUAGUCCGGAUUGUUCUCUGCAACUCGAGAGCAUGAAGUCGGAAUCGCUAGUAAUCGCAGGUCAGCAUACUGCGGUGAAUACGUUCCCGGGUCUU